UACGUAGGUGGCAAGCGUUGUCCGGAAUUAUUGGGCGUAAAGCGCGCUCAGGCGGUCCCUUAAGUCUGAUGUGAAAGCCCACGGCUCAACCGUGGAGGGUCAUUGGAAACUGGGGGACUUGAGUGCAGAAGAGGAAAGUGGAAUUCCAUGUGUAGCGGUGAAAUGCGUAGAGAUGUGGAGGAACACCAGUGGCGAAGGCGACUUUCUGGUCUGUAACUGACGCUGAGGCGCGAAAGCGUGGGGAGCAAACAGG
Molecule: ribosomal RNA, 253 nt
Filed under: uncultured bacterium
Lineage: Bacteria
Description: partial 16S ribosomal RNA
Rfam family: Bacterial small subunit ribosomal RNA
Source: RNAcentral